AGGACGAACGCUGGCGGCGUGCCUAACACAUGCAAGUCGAGCGAGGAGAUUCCUCGGGAUGAUCCUAGCGGCGGACGGGUGAGUAACACGUGGGCAACCUGCCUCAUAGAGAGGAAUAGCCUUCCGAAAGGGAGAUUAAUACCUCAUAACAUUGCAGUUUCGCAUGGAACAGCAAUUAAAGGAGCAAUCCGCUAUGAGAUGGGCCCGCGGCGCAUUAGCUAGUUGGUGAGGUAACGGCUCACCAAGGCGACGAUGCGUAGCCGACCUGAGAGGGUGAUCGGCCACAUUGGGACUGAGACACGGCCCAGACUCCUACGGGAGGCGGCAGUGGGGAAUAUUGCACAAUGGGGGAAACCCUGAUGCAGCAACGCCGCGUGGGUGAUGACGGCCUUCGGGUUGUAAAGCUCUGUCUUCAGGGACGAUAAUGACGGUACCUGAGGAGGAAGCCACGGCUAACUACGUGCCAGCCGCCGC
This 474-nucleotide ribosomal RNA is filed under the name uncultured bacterium. RNAcentral's name for it is "bacterial SSU rRNA". It matches the Rfam family "Bacterial small subunit ribosomal RNA", at positions 26 to 518 of the family's 1533-position model. The record is from RNAcentral.